CGGAGACAAGUGAAGAGAACUGACUUACACCUUAAAGAACUGCUGUUUACUCUGUAAAGGUUGCCCUUCAUCACUCAGCAGUGAAGAAUGAAAAUCAACAGAGCUUUCCCCAGCCUGCUGCUUAAGCAGCUGCUAGCAGGCUGAGGCUGCCCAGCCUCAUUAACCCGUUAGAUGCUGCGUUCGCCCGGGAGUCAUUCUUAAUGAGGCUGCUGCAGUUUUUCAGAGAAAACCAUGUACAUUUUGUGAGAAUACUCAAGCAGCCCCAUGGACCUGUCCAAAUAGCAAGGAACUGAAGCCCUCUGACAAGAACCACGUGAAUGAACCAUCCUAGAAGGAGAACCUCCAGCUGCAGUCAAAUCUCCAAAUAACUUCCCCCACAGUCAAUAUUACAACUGCAUCCUCAUGGGAGACCCUGAGCUAGAACCACCAGUAAGCCCCUUCCAAAUUCUGAAACCUUAGGAAUUGUGUGAGAUAAUAAAUAUUUACUACUAUUUAAACUUUCUAAAAGACAUAAAAAAGAAUAAAAUCAUGUCCUUUGCAGUAAUAUGAAUGUAGCUGGAGGCCAUCAUCCUAAGUGAAGAUGGAAGAGAGAAAACCAAAUACAGCAUGUUCUCACUUAUAAGUGGGAGCUAAACAUUAGGGACAUAUGGACAUAAAGAUGGCAACAAUGGACA
Molecule: long non-coding RNA, 674 nt
Organism: Gorilla gorilla gorilla (western lowland gorilla)
Lineage: Eukaryota; Metazoa; Chordata; Mammalia; Primates; Hominidae
Exons: 3
Source: RefSeq, a predicted model, not a curated record